UACAGAGGGUGCAAGCGUUGUUCGGAAUUAUUGGGCGUAAAGCGCGUGUAGGUGGCUCGUUAUGGUCGGGUGUGAAAGCCCUCAGCUUAACUGAGGAAGUGCGCCCGAAACUGGCGAGCUUGAGUGUCGGAGAGGAUAGCGGAACACCCGGUGUAGAGGUGAAAAUUCGUAGAUAUCGGGUAGAACACCAGUGGCGAAGGCGGCUAUCUGGACGACAACUGACGCUGAGACGCGAAAGCGUGGGGAGCAAACAGG
This 255-nucleotide ribosomal RNA is filed under the name uncultured bacterium. RNAcentral describes it as "partial 16S ribosomal RNA". It matches the Rfam family "Bacterial small subunit ribosomal RNA", at positions 524 to 776 of the family's 1533-position model. The record is from RNAcentral.